Cyprinus carpio carpio is the source of this 3534-nucleotide long non-coding RNA. Lineage: Eukaryota; Metazoa; Chordata; Actinopteri; Cypriniformes; Cyprinidae. The record is from Ensembl.
AUGGUUUCUUUGAGUUGCAGAGGAAAGUUUCCUCCCCAAUCAUUAGAUCUGAACUGUGCUUGGUUCAUGUCUAUAGCAAACAAAAGUACCUUUAAAUUCUUCCUUCUCAGUCUGUUACUCACUUUCUGGCUCGUCAUUACUGCAGGUGCAGUUGCAGUGGUCGCAGCUGCGGCAGCAGCCAAUAUGAAGCACAAUUAAAUAAAUGCCUAAUGAAAGGAGCAUCCCAAAACCAUACAUCUGGAAGAGGAGAAAAAAAAGGCAAAAUCAGUACAUUAAGAUGAUACAAAAACAAUUGAUGAUAGCAUUAUCAUAUCAUUUCAUUCAGAAGAUACUUUUAUCCAAAAGUUACAUUACAUUUACAGGGAUAAUCACAGGGAGGUAAAAUGAUGUGCAGACUGAUCAUAUUUAUAUUCCCUUUAAUCCAUUUGUCUUUCUAUGUUUUUUUUUCUUACACAGAAACAUAGAUGUUAUGACAUUCAUCCUUUUUAAGCAUGUACAAUUUUAGAUAGAUACAAUUAUUCCUAAACACCAGAAUAAAAUGCAAGUAUGGGGGGGCUUCAGUUGUUUCUGUUUUUGUGUAUAAUUUCUUUCCUUUUUUUAACAUAACAUUUUUGAAGACGGUGUGAAUUCUUUAAUUAUAUGACUUACCUGUGACUUGACAAUAAAGCUGAGCGUCAGAGCCUGGAGCUCGGUGUCAUUUCUUCCUGGAAAUGAGUCAGUGGGUUUACACCAUCUCAAAUGUAGCUGAUCAUCUGAAACAUACACUCCAUUCCAGUCUGUGUCUCGACAGGCAACAUAGUCACCAUCAAGGAGCACAAGAACGAUCCACACAAAAGGUGGAAUCAGGCAAAGAAACAACAUUUUUAAAGGUUGAAAUACAGAAGAUUUAAAUUUAAUCUGCUGUAAAAUAAUACACAUUGAAGCAAAAACUAAAAUAAAAGGGCCAGCAAAGAUGAGGUUUGUUAUUAUCGGAUUCAGUUUAGCAUCGCAUGGGCAUAUAAAAUCUUUAUCAAUCAAAGCCUCCAAAGGAAAUAAUAAAAUGAUCAUUGGAACAGAGAUGGCAAGAGCCAGUUUGUCCAGCUCUCUUUUACACUUUUCAAUUGUUAAAGGCAUGUUUUGAGGUCUACACAGUUCUCAACAGGUAAAUUUGAUGAUGCUUUGAAUGCUCCUCUGUUUUAUGGUCUCAGGAAAUGCUCGUAAUCUGGCAGAUCAGAUGCUCAGGAAAUUCUCAAGGCUGGACAGGUCCCCUACAGUCAAUAAAAAAAAUUUGUUUACACAUUGUGUUUUUUAAUAUUUAAAGAGUACAAACUAUACAUUUCUGCUUGUAUUUGUGUGUGUGUACCUAUAAAUUAUAUUCAUUCAAAAUUUAGAUUUCUAAAUUAGAUGCACGAAAAUACAACUUUCAAUAUAAAUAUACAGUAUUAAAUAUAGAAAUAUAUAAAAAGGAGACCAGGAUUUACUUUUGUAUAUGCUCUUCCUGUCUGCUGUGAUGUGUUGUUGAGUUUCAGUUUCUGCUCACAAAAAUGCUACAUGCAAUGACGGCUACAAUAAAACAUGCAUAACAGAGAGAGAGUAACAUUACAUUGUUUUUUAUUUUUUAUUUUUUUUAAAUAAAAGCUGUGUAUGUUUGUUCUUCAUGACUCAAAGAGCCACAAGUGGUAAACAUGCCUUUUAAAUGGUUAAUGAUCUCUUACUGUCAUUUUAUUUGACAUAUUUAUUGCAUAUUGUAGGCCAUUUACCUGUUUGUAGUGAGUCACAAGAGCUAUUAAUGUUCAUAUUUGCAAAUAUAAAUUCCAAUUAAUGAAAAAAAAAAGAAUAUAUAUAUAUAUAUAUAUAUAUAUAUAUAUAUAUAUAUAUAUAUAUAUAUAUAUAUAUAUAUAAUAUUAAACAAUAUUUAUAAUUAUUAAUACUAGAAAAAAUCUGUUCACUUUCCAAAUUAGAUAAGAAUAAAUAUACAUGUCUUUGCAGGAAACACAUUGUCAUUUUAAUAUGUAAUAGUUUACAUUCUUACCAUGCAUUAUAGCCUUUUACCUUUUAAAAAAUGAAGUACUGGAGUUCAGUCUAAUUUCCUCCGUUUCAUAAGUCACUGGAAACAUACAAUAGCAUCUUCAGAAUCAAGAAUGAAAGGAAAUGUUGCUUUAUAAAGUGGCAGACCUCAUGACUAAAACAAAAAUUGGUUUCACUUCGUGAUUGCCAUGUCAGCUUUUUUUUUUUUUUAAUCUUGGUUAAGUGAAGUGAAAAAAAGUGAAAGUGACAUUCAGCUAAGUAUGUUGACCCAUACUCAGAAUUCGUGCUCUGCAUUUAACCCAUCCAAAGUGCACACACACAGGGGUGAACGAACACACACACACACCAUGAACACACACCCGGAGCAGUGCGCAGCCAUUUAUGCUGCAGUGCCCGGGGGUCUAGUUGGGGGUUCAGUACCUUGCUCAAGGGCACCUCAGUCGUGGUGAUGCCGGCCCGAGACUCAAACCCAAGACCUUAAGGUUAGGAGUCAAACUCUCUAACCACUAGGCCACGACUUCCCCUAAUGAUUCUAAUAAUCUUGUUUAAUUUAUCACACACACACACACACACACACACACACACAGGGCCGCAUUAAGACUAUAAGGGGCCCCUGGGCUUUACCUCUUGAGGGGCCCUACCAGGGCUCGACAAUAAGGACUGCCCGAUUGCCCGAGGCUAGUGUGAAUGACGCUCGGGACAGUAGACGGAACGGUCACUUGCCUGAUCGGGCCAGUGCUGUAGGGUGUGCGUUAUAUGUAGUCUAUGAUAUCGUAAUUGUUGAUUUAACGAUCUGAUAUUAUCGAGUAUGCAUCUUACUUUACAAAAAACAAACAAAAACACACCCAUUCUGUGCACUACGUGACGUAGUCUAGUAGGUUAGACUUGUGCACGUGAUUUAGUCUUAAUGCCUCAGAAUUCAAAUAUGCCCCUGUAUAUAUUUCAUAUAAUUAAUAAUUUAAUAUCUAUGUUAACCAAUAUUACACAAAGAGUGCCGUUUUUCUCCAGAUAUUAGCAUGAUUACAAAUGUGAUGAUUUUAUUCAGCGUACAGUUUAAUAAACAAGAACUUAAUAUGAAGUGACUUACAUUUUAGACACCAAAUCAUCUGUUUCGCUGUAUUUCCCCAACGAAAAUGGUUCCAAAGUCCACAGAAUUGUUUUGCGUCUCUGAGCAACACUUCCUGAGUGAAUCAGCUGCUUGAAUGAAUCGGUUGAAUCCAUAGACUGUAAAAAAAUAUGGACGUAGUGUCCGUGACGUCACCCAUAGACUCCUCAAUAGCGGUUUUGAACUUGAAGCUCAAAGUGUGCAGAGCGGGCCGUCGCCAUCUUGGCAGCGCGUCACCGCGCGACUCUCCCGGAUAAUCGAAAAUAGGCAAAAAGGCGGGAGCUGGUUCCUGAAGCCACGCCCACCUAGCGCGACGGCAUUGUCAGCAGCGGCAAUCCACCUGUCACUCAAGUGGCCACGCCCUUAAUUAUGCAGAACUUUAAGGCUUAAUAUAAUUUAAACGGAUGAGUUAUAAAAAAAAU